This 495-nucleotide long non-coding RNA is filed under the name Mytilus galloprovincialis (Mediterranean mussel). The record is from RNAcentral. Lineage: Eukaryota; Metazoa; Mollusca; Bivalvia; Mytilida; Mytilidae.
AAUAAAGGCAACAGUAGUAUACCGCUGUUCAAAACUCAUAAAUCCAUGGACAAAAAACAAAAUCGGGGUAACAAACUAAAACCGAGGAAAACGCAUUAAAUAUAAGAGGAGAACAACGACAUAACACCGAAACGUAACACACACAGAAACGGACCAAGCAUCAGACAAAACACCACGAGAAUAACAAAUAUAACAUGAAAACCAAAUACAUGAAUUUGGGAUAGACAAGUACCGUGCCACGUCUUAUCUCAAUUUCUCAAAAAUAAGAGAAAACACAAACGACUCAACGUUAAAAUGCAACACACACAUAAACGAACAAUAAUAUAACAAUGGCCAUCUUCCUGACUUGGUACAGGACACUUUUAAAGGGGAAUAAAAGUGGUGGGUUGAACCUGGUUUUGUGGCAUGCCAAACCUCGCACUUUAAUGGCAAAGUUAAAUAUAACAUUGAAAUGACAACAUAAUAUUACAGGACUACAAUACAAAUUAAUAGAAC